Molecule: small RNA, 590 nt
Filed under: Pan troglodytes (chimpanzee)
Lineage: Eukaryota; Metazoa; Chordata; Mammalia; Primates; Hominidae
Description: processed transcript
Source: RNAcentral
GAAAGCUAGACCUGCAGAGUGAAGAAAGCUUGUAAUAGAUGUCUGACUAAAGAAAGACUUGUGUUACGAUGCAAAGUAUUGUUCCUGGGUGUGUCUGUGAGAGUAUUGCCAAAGGAGAGCAGUGAACUGGGGAAAGCAGACCCACCUCAAUGUGGGUGGGCAACAUCCAAUCGGCUGCCAGCUAGAAUAAACCAGGCAGGAGAAGAUGGAAGAGCCGACUUGCUGAAUCUUCCAGCCUUCAUCUUUCUCGUGUGCUGGAUGCUUCCUGCCCUCAAACAUCAGACUCCAGGCUCUUCGUCUUUUGGACUCUCGGAUUUACAUCAGUGGUUUACCAGGGCUCUCAGGCCUUCAGCUACACACUGAAGGCUGAAUUGUCGGCUUCCCGACUUUUGAGAUUUUGAAACUUGGACUGAGCUACUGCUGGCUUCCUUGCUUCUCAACUUACAGAUGGGACUUCACCUUUAGAUCAUGAUCAGAACACAAUACCUGAAAAUUUGCCAGCACCAACAGACAAAUAUAAACUAAAAUAUCAGCAAAGUAAAACUGAAAUUAAAGAGAGCUAUAAGCAGUAUAGUCAGAGAAAUGCAGAA